GAUGAACGCUGGCGGCGUGCCUAAUACAUGCAAGUCGAGCGAACGGACGAGAAGCUUGCUUUUCUGAUGUUAGCGGCGGACGGGUGAGUAACACGUGGAUAACCUACCUAUAAGACUGGGAUAACUUCGGGAAACCGGAGCUAAUACCGGAUAAUAUUUUGAACCGCAUGGUUCAAAAGUGAAAGACGGUCUUGCUGUCACUUAUAGAUGGAUCCGCGCUGCAUUAGCUAGUUGGUAAGGUAACGGCUUACCAAGGCAACGAUGCAUAGCCGACCUGAGAGGGUGAUCGGCCACACUGGAACUGAGACACGGUCCAGACUCCUACGGGAGGCAGCAGUAGGGAAUCUUCCGCAAUGGGCGAAAGCCUGACGGAGCAACGCCGCGUGAGUGAUGAAAGUCUUCGGAUCGUAAAACUCUGUUAUUAGGGAAGAACAUAUGUGUAAGUAACUGUGCACAUCUUGACGGUACCUAAUCAGAAAGCCACGGCUAACUACGUG
This 497-nucleotide ribosomal RNA is filed under the name uncultured bacterium. RNAcentral describes it as "partial 16S ribosomal RNA". It matches the Rfam family "Bacterial small subunit ribosomal RNA", at positions 28 to 507 of the family's 1533-position model. The record is from RNAcentral.